RNAcentral lists this long non-coding RNA (813 nucleotides) under Vitis vinifera (wine grape). RNAcentral describes it as "long non-coding RNA (VVIN_LNC000720)". The record is from RNAcentral. Lineage: Eukaryota; Viridiplantae; Streptophyta; Magnoliopsida; Vitales; Vitaceae.
UGUAAGUGGAGAAAAAGAUGCGUUUUAGAUACUCUAAUUCUGUGUCGUUAUUGAGAAGAGCGUUUUUCUAAACGAAAUUGCUUUCCUAUUGCAGAUAUGUGCCUGGGUUGGACAAAGGAAAGGGUCUCUACUUUCUGUUUGUGAAGUCCGAAACGAGGACCCCUGGUGGGUUACUGGCUCGCCCAGUGCUCACAAGCUACUACAAAAGCGAACACUUCAAGACUCGCCCUUAUGACCCCUACAACGUCUACACCAGUCCCAACGAAGCAAUCCUCUGCGCUGACUCUUUCCAGAGCAUGUACACCCAGAUGCUCUGCGGCAUCUACGAGCGCAAACAAGUCCUCCGGCUCGGAGCCGUCUUUGCCUCCGGCCUACUCAGAGCCAUACGAUUCCUCCAACUCAACUGGCACCAACUCACACAUGACAUCCGAACCGGAACUCUCAGCCCCAAAAUCACUGACCCUUCGGUUAGAAAUUGUGUAGCAGGUGUCCUGAAACCAGACCCAGAACUCGCCGACCUCGUCGCCGGCGAGUGCUCCAAGGACAACUGGGAGGGGAUUAUCACUCGAAUUUGGCCUAACACAAAGUACCUCGAUGUCAUCGUCACCGGUGCAAUGGCUCAGUACAUUCCAACUCUGGACUACUACAGCGGUGGAUUGCCACUUGCAUGUACAAUGUAUGCGUCGUCGGAGUGCUAUUUCGGACUCAAUCUCAACCCCAUGUCCAAACCCUCUGAAGUCUCCUACACCAUAAUGCCCAACAUGGCUUACUUCGAGUUCCUUCCUCAUGAGCACUCCUCCAUCCCCUUGAGCC